GACGAACCGUACGAACGUUAUUCGGAAUCACUGGGCGUAAAGCGUGCGUAGGCUGCUCUACAAGUCAGGAGUGAAAGCCCAAGGCUUAACCUUGGAAGCGCUCUUGAAACUGUAGGACUCGAGUUCGGGAGAGGAUAGCGGAAUUCUCAGUGUAGCAGUGAAAUGCGUAGAUAUUGAGAGGAACACCAGUGGCGCAAGCGGCUAUCUG
Molecule: ribosomal RNA, 208 nt
Filed under: uncultured bacterium
Lineage: Bacteria
Description: partial 16S ribosomal RNA
Rfam family: Bacterial small subunit ribosomal RNA
Source: RNAcentral